This 438-nucleotide ribosomal RNA is filed under the name Triticum aestivum (bread wheat). RNAcentral's name for it is "partial small subunit ribosomal RNA". Lineage: Eukaryota; Viridiplantae; Streptophyta; Magnoliopsida; Poales; Poaceae. The record is from RNAcentral.
AUGGUGGCGACCAAGUGCACACAGCAAGCAGUUCUGUGUUUUGUUAUCAAGGAUUUGGCAAUGAGGAGAGUCAUCCUUAGAGGAAAGUGUGAGGGGGGGCUCUAUCCACUCAUAUCAUCGUCAUCAUCAUGGUCAAAUAAACAAGCUUGGAGUGUCACCAAGCCAACUUCAGCAAAGUGGCAUAGUCGCUUGGGUCAUCCAUCCUCGGUCAUCGUUCAGCAUGUCCUUAGCAAAAAUAAACUUCCUUAUGAGUCUAGUGUUGAGUCAGUUUGUGAUUCGUGUCAGCAAGCUAAAAGUCAUCAAUUGCCAUAUCCUAUUUCUACCAGUGUAUCCACAGCUCCAUUACAACUUAUUUUUUUAGAUGUGUGGGGGGCAGCCCCCACAUCAGUUGCUAGAUUAUCAUAUUAUGUAAGUUCCAUUGAUGACUAUAGCAAAUUU